GUAGUCAGUAGGUGGGGGGUGAGAACGGCUCCAUACAGGAGUUGACGCACAGUUAUCCAGCUCCUAUAUGGCGCCUUUCCUCAUCCCCUUCAA
RNAcentral lists this microRNA precursor (93 nucleotides) under Felis catus (domestic cat). RNAcentral describes it as "mir-337 microRNA precursor family". It matches the Rfam family "mir-337 microRNA precursor family". The record is from Rfam by way of RNAcentral. Lineage: Eukaryota; Metazoa; Chordata; Mammalia; Carnivora; Felidae. RNAcentral also lists the same sequence under 3 other names.